Molecule: ribosomal RNA, 473 nt
Filed under: uncultured bacterium
Lineage: Bacteria
Description: bacterial SSU rRNA
Rfam family: Bacterial small subunit ribosomal RNA
Source: RNAcentral
GACGAACGCUGGCGGCGUGCCUAACACAUGCAAGUCGAGCGGGGUUGAAGCGAGAGGUAACUCGAACUUCUACCUAGCGGCGGACGGGUGAGUAACGCGUGGGCAACCUGCCUCAAGGUCUGGGAUAACAGCCCGAAAGGGCUGCUAAUACCGGGUAUGCUUGUGGCCUCGCAUGGGGCUAUGAGCAAAGGGGAAACCCGCCUUGAGAUGGGCCCGCGUCCCAUCAGCUAGUUGGUGAGGUAACAGCUCACCAAGGCGACGACGGGUAGCCGGCCUGAGAGGGUGACCGGCCACACUGGGACUGAGACACGGCCCAGACUCCUACGGGGGGCAGCAGUGGGGGAUCUUGCACAAUGGGCGAAAGCCUGAUGCAGCGACGCCGCGUGAGCGAAGAAGGCCUCGGUUGUAAAGCUCUGUCUGGAGGGACGAAGGAAGUGACGGUACCUCCGGAGGAAGCCACGGCUAACUACGUG